This 301-nucleotide ribosomal RNA is filed under the name uncultured bacterium. Its description in RNAcentral is "partial 16S ribosomal RNA". It matches the Rfam family "Bacterial small subunit ribosomal RNA", at positions 509 to 807 of the family's 1533-position model. The record is from RNAcentral.
CAGCCGCCACGGUAAUACGUAGGGUGCAAGCGUUAAUCGGAAUUACUGGGCGUAAAGCGUGCGCAGGCGGUUAUAUAAGACAGAUGUGAAAUCCCCGGGCUCAACCUGGGAACUGCAUUUGUGACUGUAUAGCUAGAGUACGGCAGAGGGGGAUGGAAUUCCGCGUGUAGCAGUGAAAUGCGUAGAUAUGUGGAGGAACACCGAUGGCGAAGGCAAUCCCCUGGGCCUGUACUGACGCUCAUGCACGAAAGCGUGGGGAGCAAACAGGAUUAGAUACCCCAGUAGUCCCUGUCUCUUAUAC